GGGUGCGAUCAUACCAGCACUAAUGCACCGGAUCCCAUCAGAACUCCGAAGUUAAACGUGCUUGGGCGAGAGUAGUACUAAGAUGGGUGACCUCUUGGGAAGUUCUCGUGUUGCACCCU
Molecule: non-coding RNA, 119 nt
Organism: Ricinus communis (castor bean)
Lineage: Eukaryota; Viridiplantae; Streptophyta; Magnoliopsida; Malpighiales; Euphorbiaceae
Source: Rfam